GUGCGAGUAUUUAACACUUACGCACCUCCACGUCUGAUCUCGCGCAAUUCAGUACAUAAAAUAUUACGACUUUUGCGAAUUUCCCGAUUUUCCACUCUCGACCCCUUAGCGAACUUCAAGCAAUAUCCGACAAUCCGUUCAUUGGAUUUCUGAACGGAUUGCACCAUCGCGUUCAGCACGACGAGGGCAUCAAAUCUAGCAUUUCGUUUCGUCCGAUUUGAUCUCCGAUUCACGACGAAAUCCAUUCUCUCUCCAAAAGGCCAAAAUGAUGCACAAUUACAUAAGAAACAUGUAUUUUC
This 299-nucleotide long non-coding RNA is filed under the name Ananas comosus (pineapple). Its description in RNAcentral is "long non-coding RNA (ACOM_LNC040967)". The record is from RNAcentral. Lineage: Eukaryota; Viridiplantae; Streptophyta; Magnoliopsida; Poales; Bromeliaceae.